Molecule: long non-coding RNA, 1165 nt
Filed under: Callithrix jacchus (white-tufted-ear marmoset)
Lineage: Eukaryota; Metazoa; Chordata; Mammalia; Primates; Cebidae
Description: lncRNA (ENSCJAG00000072730.1)
Source: RNAcentral
AGAAGAUCAACUAAAUUUCACCUACUAUAGGACAUCUUUCCUCUCCAGUCAGCUUCCUCUUCUCGACUCCUACAGGCCUUAAUGUCUGUGCUUUUCAGUUAGCCCUUGUCUCACACAGCUUGUCUUUUCAUCUCCCUCAUGAGCUCCUUAAAAACAAAAGCUGCAGCUCCUUUUCUUUACUCUCUUGGCUCCUAAUUCCUUGCGCAGAGCCAGUGCUCAAUCUACGUUGAUUGAGGGCUGACAAGAAAUUGGAUUUGUUUCCAAAAAGAUUUGAUAUGCUCCUUCCCUGGUGGACUUUGAAAUAUAGGGUAGAUUUUCAGGUGCGCAGUAAGUGGAGUGAGAACCUUUCUAGAAACGAAAAGGUAAAUCGUGUGAGUCCCCCUGUCCAAGCCUGUGACUAUAUGAAAAUAAGUGCCUUACUGACAGUGUAAAACUGAGAAAACACUCUUUUUGGCUUCCUUCAUUUUAGACAAAGCCUGGCUUUGUCACACACACUCAGGUUUCAGAGAGCUCUGGCAUAACAGGCAGCUUCCCCACUCGCACUGAAAGUAAACACAGACAGGCUCUCAUCCCACAGAGGACAGAAUGAGCAGCUUACUCCGGAAAGCGGAGGACAGAUUGCCAGCAUCAGCACAGAAGGGAUCAGCUGCACCACAGAGGCGACCCUAUUACUUCAUGCACAGAGCCGGGCUUCCAUCAGGGUCCUUCCAUAAGGUCCUCGUCCCCACACUUACUGGCACAUUGCCCUGGCCCACAGAUAAUGUACAAAAUCUUGCCUUGCCUUUGCAUGGCAUUUUGCCUUGUAGGAUCUCUGCUAAGCCUCUCGCCACCUUCCCUCAUGGACAGAGAGAGGAAAGGCCCCCUUAGAGGGACCCCUGGGUGUGUCACUAAUCCAUCUGCCUGCUUCUAUGUCACAUUUAAUUACUCACUCAAUACAGAAUUAUCUGUACCGAGACUCCAGACUAAUGAGAUGCUGCGAAGCCUUCAAACUGGGGAUUACAAACUGCAGCCUGCUGUACCAAGUGGUGGGAAAACCGAAGCUAGAAAGGGCAGAAUGGCAUAGCUCAAGGCCAGGAUUCACUUCACAGGUCUUUUGCUGCUGAUCUUCUGGAAUAUCCUCCAGCAGAACUUUGUGGGAGGUGACCUCCCGCAAAAAAGUCUUACA